RNAcentral lists this long non-coding RNA (750 nucleotides) under Danio rerio (zebrafish). RNAcentral describes it as "lncRNA (ENSDARG00000117521.1)". Lineage: Eukaryota; Metazoa; Chordata; Actinopteri; Cypriniformes; Danionidae. The record is from RNAcentral.
GUUUUUGAAGCUGCGCUUAAAGACUUCAGUUCAGUCACAGGAAAGCUGCAAGAUUCUGGAGCUGUCACCAGGGAGAGUCUAACCAAGAAUGAACAGCUGCUUAUCCCCUACUACCUGGAAGCCAUCUUGCUAAGGCUUCUGCAGCAGCCUGGAGUGGUCACUAAGAAGACUAAGUCUGAACUCUUUAUUACUCACUCUUUUCAAGAAUAACUUAAUUUGCAAACAUUUUUUGAACAAGUGUUAGUUACACCUUAGCAUAGUUGUUCAGAGUUAGACUAUAUUGUGCCGUUAUUUUACAAUUUAGUUAUUUUUUAAAUUAUUUUCUUUACUCUGUUUUAUCUCUCAACUCUCUUUUUGCAGGUUAAGGAAUGGGAAGGGAAAAUUCACAACGAGGCCGGUGUUUCUAUUGCUGUGAAGAAGCCUAAAACAACUGCAUUACAAAUAGCAGAAGUGCCACUGUAGGACAAAAUGAAACUUGUAAGUUUAAAUAGGAAUCUAAAUCAUAAAGCCAUAAUAGCAAGUUAAAUAUAAUGUAAAUUUACUGGUUCUUUGGUUUCUCUUGCACUUCAGUGAGGUGUGGCCAGUGAUGUGUCAGCCAGCUCAUUUUUUGUGUCGAGCACCGGGAGACCAAUUUAUAAACCAUCAAAUGAUUUUAAAAAGGCUUCAAUACAGACAACCAUCUAGUGCACCUGCCAGCUGAGAGAUGAGCAGACGCCCUACAGCAGUCGGGCAGAGUCCUAUCCAGUGACC